RNAcentral lists this transfer RNA (74 nucleotides) under Anaerolineae bacterium. Its description in RNAcentral is "tRNA-Ile". It matches the Rfam family "tRNA". Rfam says of the family: Transfer RNA (tRNA) molecules are approximately 80 nucleotides in length. Lineage: Bacteria; Bacillati; Chloroflexota; Anaerolineae. The record is from RNAcentral.
GGGCGAGUAGCUCAGUUGGUUAGAGCAUCCGGCUGAUAACCGGAAGGUCACAGGUUCGAGUCCUGUCUCGCCCA